ACUCUGAGUCGAGGCUCUCAUCGCAAUGGUUUGUUGAUUAACACUCGAUACUCGGCCCGAGAAAAAGGGACUACGUUAAAGUCCCUGCCAGACAUAAAAAAAGAAAGAACCCAUGCUCAUCACAGGAAGUUCACCUCUCACAAUUGUUUUACUAUGAAAAAAUUAGAGCGUUCCAAGCAUUCCAAUGCUCCAAUACAUCAACAUAAAAUAACAGAACAGGCCAUGUGAUUCUUUCUUGUUGGUGUCUUCGAGCGCAGUAAUGAUUAAAAGGGACUGAUUUUUUCACCAGAAAUUACUGUCACCCCGCCAAAUCUUGUAUAGAGUGAAGACUCCCCCCGCGAAAAGGCUCUGCAAGGAUGUUUUCUUAUCAGGGACGCAGGCUAGGGGACCCAAAGCGAUACUAACCGCUUUUUUUCUUCACCAAAACUAUUCCCACUAGUGGACCGGCAAUUUUAUUUUUUGACCGGCCGACUCUACGCCAACGAAAAG
This 489-nucleotide ribosomal RNA is filed under the name uncultured Redeckera. RNAcentral's name for it is "partial 18S ribosomal RNA". It matches the Rfam family "Eukaryotic small subunit ribosomal RNA", at positions 638 to 1103 of the family's 1831-position model. The record is from RNAcentral. Lineage: Eukaryota; Fungi; Glomeromycota; Glomeromycetes; Diversisporales; Diversisporaceae.